This 918-nucleotide unclassified non-coding RNA is filed under the name Hevea brasiliensis (rubber tree). Lineage: Eukaryota; Viridiplantae; Streptophyta; Magnoliopsida; Malpighiales; Euphorbiaceae. The record is from RNAcentral.
GAAGAAAAGAAGAGAAGAGAAGCUUUAUUUCGAGAAUCAUCUGCACGUAGCUAACGGAGCAAUGGUGUCUCAACGUCAUGGUGGUGGUGCUGUUGUUGGAUUCGUUCGCUUGGACGAGCUUAGCUUGGAGAUGGCAGCUGCACUUGUUCGGUCUGGUUACAAGGUCCAGGCUUUUGAGAUAGAAGGAGCUCUGGUGGAUGAGUUUUCAAAUCUGGGGGGAGUUAAAUGUGCCAGCCCACAUGAGGUUGGGAAAGAUGUUGUAGCUUUGGUUANCUCAUGUUGAUCAAAUCAAUGAUGUAAUAUUUGGUCAACAGGGUGCUUUGAAAGGGUUGCAGAAAGGGGCAGUCAUCAUCCUACGCUCAACUAUCUUGCCAUCACACAUACAAACUCUAGAGAAACGUCUCAGGGAGGAUGGCGUGCCAGCUUAUUUAGUAGAUGCACAUGUCUCCAGGGGAAUGUCUGAGGUUUUAGAUGGAAGAAUCAUGAUUAGUUCCUCAGGGACAUCUGAAGCCAUUGCAAGGGCGCGUCCUAUUCUCUCUGUAAUGUGUGAAAAGCUGUACACUUUUGAGGGUGAAGUUGGUGCUGGAAGUAAAAUUAAAAUGGUCAAUGAGCUGCUUGAGGGCAUUCAUCUUGUCGCUUCAGUGGAGGCUAUUUCUCUUGGUUCUCAAGCUGCAACUAAUCCAUGGAUGGUCUAUGACAUAAUAUCCAAUGCUGCUGGAAAUUCAUGGGUUUUCAAGAAUCAUAUACCUCAGUUGUUGAGAGGGGAUGCCAAGCCCCAUUCCCUUAAUAUUUUGGUCCAGAAAUUGGUAAGAUAUAUUGUGGUGAUACAUGUUCUAAGUGAUGUUGGCAUUCGGUGCCUUUUUAAUGUAUUGCAUAUUUGCAUUGAAUUAAUCAAUAUGUCCUGAAAUGUUGAGAACC